GUGUAAUUUGUAGAGGAUGUUUCGGGCGCGGCGCCGGUCUAAGUCCCUUGGAACGGGGCGUCGCAGAGGGUGAGAAUCCCGUAUGUGACCGGCGGUCAAGCCCAUGUGAAACUCCUUCGACGAGUCGAGUUGUUUGGGAAUGCAGCUCAAAAUGGGUGGUAAAUUUCAUCUAAAGCUAAAUACUGGCCAGAGACCGAUAGCGCACAAGUAGAGUGAUCGAAAGAUGAAAAGCACUUUGGAAAGAGAGUCAAAAAGUACGUGAAAUUGUUGAAAGGGAAGCGCUUGCAACCAGACCUGCCCGCGGGCGAUCAGCCGUCCCUUCUGGGGGCGGUGCACGCGCCCGCGAACAGGCCAGCAUCGGUUCGGGCGGCCGGAUAAAGGCCUUGGGAACGUAGCUCCCCUCGGGGAGUGUUAUAGCCCUCGGUGCAAUGCGGCCCGCCUGGACCGAGGACCGCGCUUCGGCUAGGAUGCUGGCGUAAUGGUUGUAAGCGGCCCGUCUUGAAACACGGACCAAGGAGUCUAACAUCUAUGCAAGUGUUUGGGUGUUAAACCCAUGCGCGUAAUGAAAGUGAACGGAGGUAGGAACCCAUUAGGGCGCACUAUCGACCGAUCCUGAUGUCUUCGGAUGGAUUUGAGUACGAGCAUAGCUGUUGGGACCCGAAAGAUGGUGAACUAUGCCUGAAUAGGGUGAAGCCAGAGGAAACUCUGGUGGAGGCUCGCAGCGGUUCUGACGUGCAAAUCGAUCGUCAAAUUUGGGUAUAGGGGCGAAAGACUAAUCGAACCAUCUAGUAGCUGGUUCCAGCCGAAGUUUCCCUUCAG
This 819-nucleotide ribosomal RNA is filed under the name Gyalolechia marmorata. RNAcentral's name for it is "partial large subunit ribosomal RNA". It matches the Rfam family "Eukaryotic large subunit ribosomal RNA", at positions 143 to 976 of the family's 3401-position model. The record is from RNAcentral. Lineage: Eukaryota; Fungi; Ascomycota; Lecanoromycetes; Teloschistales; Teloschistaceae.